RNAcentral lists this ribosomal RNA (406 nucleotides) under uncultured bacterium. RNAcentral describes it as "partial 16S ribosomal RNA". It matches the Rfam family "Bacterial small subunit ribosomal RNA", at positions 30 to 526 of the family's 1533-position model. The record is from RNAcentral.
AUUGAACGCUGGCGGCAGGCCUAACACAUGCAAGUCGAGCGAGCGGCGGACGGGUGAGUAAUGUCUGGGAAACUGCCGGAUGGAGGGGGAUAACUACUGGAAACGGUAGCUAAUACAGCAUACCAUCAGAUGUGCCCAGAUGGGAUCAGCUAGUAGGUGGGGUAACGGCUCACCUAGGCGACGAUCACUAGCUGGUCUGAGAGGCUGACCAGCCACACGUGAACUGAGACACGAUCCAGACUCCUACGGCAGGCAGCAGUGGUGAAUAUUGCACAAUGGGCGCAAGCCUGAUGCAGCCAUGCCGCGUGUGUGAAGAAGGCCUUCGGGUUGUAAAGCACUUUCAGCGGGGAGGCGUUACCCGCAGAAGAAGCACCGGCUAACUCCGUGCCAGCAGCCGCGGUAAUGC